GGGGAAGGGUAGCUUGCUACCUGACCUAGCGGCGGACGGGUGAGUAAUGCUUAGGAAUCUGCCUAUUAGUGGGGGACAACAUUCCGAAAGGAAUGCUAAUACCGCAUACGCCCUACGGGGGAAAGCAGGGGAUCUUCGGACCUUGCGCUAAUAGAUGUAGCCUAAGUCAGAUUAGCUAGUUGGUGGGGUAAAGGCCUACCAAGGCGACGAUCUGUAGCGGGUCUGAGAGGAUGAUCCGCCACACUGGGACUGAGACACGGCCCAGACUCCUACGGGAGGCAGCAGUGGGGAAUAUUGGACAAUGGGCGAAAGCCUGAUCCAGCCAUGCCGCGUGUGUGAAGAAGGCCUUUUGGUUGUAAAGCACUUUAAGCGAGGAGGAGGCUACUGAGAUUAAUACUCUUGGAUAGUGGACGUUACUCGCAGAAUAAGCACCGGCUAACUCUGUGCCAGCAGCCGCGGUAAUACAGAGGGUGCGAGCGUUAAUCGGAUUUACUGGGCGU
Molecule: ribosomal RNA, 500 nt
Filed under: uncultured bacterium
Lineage: Bacteria
Description: bacterial SSU rRNA
Rfam family: Bacterial small subunit ribosomal RNA
Source: RNAcentral